RNAcentral lists this ribosomal RNA (429 nucleotides) under Bacteroidota bacterium. Its description in RNAcentral is "Bacteroidetes bacterium partial 16S ribosomal RNA". It matches the Rfam family "Bacterial small subunit ribosomal RNA", at positions 355 to 776 of the family's 1533-position model. The record is from RNAcentral. Lineage: Bacteria; Pseudomonadati; Bacteroidota.
UAGGGAAUCUUCCGCAAUGGACGCAAGUCUGACGGAGCAACGCCGCGUGAGUGAAGAAGGAUUUCGGUUCGUAAAACUCUGUUGUUAGAGAAGAACAGCGCAUAGAGUAACUGUUAUGCGUGUGACGGUAUCUAACCAGAAAGCCACGGCUAACUACGUGCCAGCAGCCGCGGUAAUACGUAGGUGGCAAGCGUUGUCCGGAUUUAUUGGGCGUAAAGCGAGCGCAGGCGGUCAAUUAAGUCUGAUGUGAAAGCCCCCGGCUCAACCGGGGAGGGUCAUUGGAAACUGGUUGAAUUGAGUGCAGAAGAGGAGAGUGGAAUUACAUGUGUAGCGGUGAAAUGCGUAGAUAUAUGGAGGAACAACAGUGGCGAAGGCGACUCUCUGGUCUGUAACUGACGCUGAGGCUCGAAAGCGUGGGUAGCAAACAGG